UAAUUUGUGUACUAGCAAAGCGGACAUUUUAGAAGUUUGAAGGUAAAGGAGAUUAGCUGACGACUUUCAUAUAAUAUUUUCGUCUCAGAAAUUUGAGGUGUAGUUAUGCUGGUUUUAUAAUUUAAUUCAAGAACCGGGUCGACCUCGUUUUUGAACUAGUAAAGAAGUUGAGUCCAAUAUUUUUGUAUCGUAUGCGGGCGAGAUCCUGCUGCUAGCCCGUCAUUUUGCAAGUGUGCGUUGUUUUUUAGGCCGUUAAAAGAGGGCCCUUUCAGCUCUGACGCCAAAUCUCGUUUUUUUUWWACUUCAAAAUAGACGUAUGGCCCGUGAACGUAUAAAUUAUAACUUGUGUCUUUGUGAUUUUAUUAAGAUAGCUAGAUUAGAAGCCCUUUGGAAUAUUGCUAGGCCAACUGGCUUGCUAGCUAACAAUUGACAACCCCGCGUGCGCCAUCAGCUUUGUGAACGUGAAUUAGCCAUUAGCUAGCUAGUUUACGUUACUUACUAAUCUAAUUUAGAGACCAUGGCAGAGUUGUACAUUCGCGUGGGAGAGGAUGAAAACGAAGAGCCAAUGGAGAUCCCAUCUGAGGACGAUGGCACUGUUUUGCUGUCAACAGUAGCAGCCCAGUUUCCCGGAGCGUGCGGCCUACGUUACAGGAGCCCUGCGUCUCAGUGCAUGCGAGGCGUCCGUCUAGUUGAGGGCAUCUUGCAUGCACCUGAGAAUGACUGGGGUAGUCUGGUGUACGUCGUCAACUACCCAAAAGAUAACAAAAGGAAGAUGGAUGAAAUGGAUGCUGCCUCUGCUGUAAAAAUGAAGAGAGGUAUUGAUAGAACAUCAGACCUCAUUAUCCUUGGGUUGCCAUGGAAAACAUCUGAGCAAGAUUUGAAAGACUACUUCGCCACUUUUGGAGAAGUCAUCAUGGUGCAGGUCAAAAGAGAUGUCAAGACUGGGAACUCAAAAGGGUUUGGCUUUGUUCGGUUCACUGAGUAUGAGACUCAAUCCAAAGUGAUUUCUCAGCGACACAUGAUCGAUGGAAGAUGGUGUGACUGCAAACUACCAAACUCUAAGGCAGGGCCUGAUGAGCCCAUGCGCAACUGUAAAAUCUUUGUUGGCCGCUGCACAGAGGACAUUACCACCGAUGAGCUCCGGCAGUUCUUCAUGCAGUAUGGCGAGGUCACCGACGUCUUCAUUCCCAAACCCUUCCGGGCGUUUGCAUUUGUCACUUUCUCAGACGACCAGGUUGCCUCAGCAUUGUGCGGAGAGGACCUGAUCAUCAAGGGUGUCAGCGUGCACAUCUCCAACGCCGAGCCUAAGCACAAUAAUAUUAACCAACUGUUUUCGAAUUUCCCGGGAAGAAGCCCCUCGUUGGCAGCAAUGUUCGACCGAACUCAGUAUCGGUACCCCUCUUCCCAUGUGUAAAUGCUUUGCCAUCAAAAGACACAGCUUCACUCUGCAUAUACUGUGUUAGACGGGGGGACCUUGGACACGGCUGGCCCAAGUUUACAUCUGAACCCCAGAGUGAAGUCAAUUUUCGGGAAGUUGAAGACUGGAGUUUGCACUGUUGGUUGGGGGCUGCAGAAUGCCUUAUGCCUGGAAAGGGACUUCUUCACCUCACUAACAAGACCCCUUGGAUCACCCCACUGAAAUUUAUAACAGACCAUUCUCAAAUUGGGCAGAGGUAUUUAGUUGUAUACCUUCAAACAAGUACAUUUUAAAAGCAACGCCAACAUUUAAUUUAUGUAACGAAUUACCUGCUAUUUAGUGACCAUGUUUUUGUUGAGUCCUUUUUUUAUAUAUAUAUAUAUAUAUUUUUUUUUAGAAAUGACCCGACUCUAAAUCUUACAUUUGAAAGAUUCCUUUUGUGUCAUUCAUUUAUGCUUUGUCCCAAUACAGCCAUCGGUUAUUGUAAAUGGAAAGAUUUAAGUUAAAGGCUUUUAUUAAAAGUAUUCCGUUGAUCUCUUUUUCAUGUGGUUCGAAAUGUACAAGUUUUGUUGGAUUUACGGGACCAUAAAUUAUUUUACGGCUGUAAAGGGGAGUGACUCGAGUCAGUUUUACAGGGUUUUAGAUAUUUGGAAAAUUCUUGAACUCGCCAGUGGCAGGUUCAAUGAGUUAGCCAGCUAACUUGCCUAUAUAUUUUGAAAACUUUUGGGCAUGGUCUAAUUGACUCGAACAACCAACAACACAUAUGUAAGUUUAGCUUCUGGUUCUUUAUCAAAGUUAGCUGGCUAACUAAUUGAACCUACUUUAUAGUAUACCCCUCACAAAUUGUGUUACUUAUGUACAGACAUGGAACUCUUAUUUUUAGUUCACUGAAGUGUAAAAUAAAGUUUUAAAUUUGUAAUAA
Molecule: RNA transcript, 2339 nt
Organism: Salvelinus sp. IW2-2015
Lineage: Eukaryota; Metazoa; Chordata; Actinopteri; Salmoniformes; Salmonidae
Gene: tardbpa
Gene name: TAR DNA binding protein a
Source: RefSeq, a predicted model, not a curated record